AACGAACGCUGGCGGCAUGCCUAACACAUGCAAGUCAAACGAGACCUUCGGGUCUAGUGGCGCACGGGUGCGUAACGCGUGGGAACCUGCCCUUAGGUUCGGAAUAACUCCCCGAAAGGGGUGCUAAUACCGGAUAAUGUCUUCGGACCAAAGAUUUAUCGCCUUUGGAUGGGCCCGCGUUGGAUUAGCUAGUUGGUAGGGUAAAAGCCUACCAAGGCGACGAUCCAUAGCUGGUCUGAGAGGAUGAUCAGCCACACUGGGACUGAGACACGGCCCAGACUCCUACGGGAGGCAGCAGUGGGGAAUAUUGGACAAUGGGCGAAAGCCUGAUCCAGCAAUGCCGCGUGAGUGGUGAAGGCCUUAGGGUUGUAAAGCUCUUUUACCCGGGAUGAUAAUGACAGUACCGGGAGAAUAAGCUCCGGCUAACUCCGUG
This 433-nucleotide ribosomal RNA is filed under the name uncultured bacterium. RNAcentral describes it as "partial 16S ribosomal RNA". It matches the Rfam family "Bacterial small subunit ribosomal RNA", at positions 29 to 507 of the family's 1533-position model. The record is from RNAcentral.